CCCUACCUAUUGCAAUGGAAAAACUCAGUUCAAUUGCCACUCAUUCAGUCCCUGUUUCGGUCUGAAACCGUGUGUGCUGUGUGUGUGCUGUGGGAGCUCAGGGCUCUUCUUCUACCUUGGAGCAGGGGAGAGGGAGAGGGAGAGGGGAGGAGAGCAGGUGCUGCUCACCUCGGUGCAGGGUCUCUGUGCCAACAAUUGGUAUCGGAGCCGUACAAGCCAUAGCUAGGUCCUCUGACCAGCAAUGGCGGAGAGUGCGGGCCGGAAUGGUGGCGGGGAAGGUGGUGAGCGACAGCUCCAGCCGGCGCCACCGCAGGUUGAGGUGCGCGUGGUGAAGGAGUUCGGUGGCAGCGACUCCUGGCCCAUGCUCACCCGCACCAACUACGGUGAGUGGGUGAUGCAGAUGAAGUGGAAGCUGCGCGCGCGGAAGUGGUGGCGGGCGAUUGAGGAGGAUGACCGCACUAAGGACGCCCAGGUGGGAGUCAUGGAGGCGCUCAUGGCCUCGACGCCGGCGGAAUACCACGAGGCGCUGGGCGCCAAGGAGACCGCGAAGCAGGCCUGGGAGAUGCUGGAGUCGCUGCGUGUCGGCUCGGACCGAGCCAAGCGGGCAAGAAUCCAGCAGCUCCGCAGGGAGCUCAACGACAUCAAGUUCAAGCCCGGAGAAUCGGUGGAGGAGUUCACUCUUCGUCUUCAAUCCCUGGCCACGCAACUGGCCACCUACGGGAAGAAGGUGGACGACGAGGACCUCGUCACCAAGCUGCUGUGCACCGUGCCGGCAAAGUAUUCGCAGCUCGCCAUGUCCAUAGAGACGAUGUUGGAUAUCUCCACAUUGUCUCUGGAGGACGUGGCUGGGCGGCUGCGAGUAGCGGAGAGCCGCAUCACGCCGACACCAGAGAAGGAGAAGCCCAAGCUACUCCUGACGGAAGAGGAGUGGACCGCGCGCAUGAAGGACAAGCGCCGGACCGGGGAAGGCUCCACCAGCCGCGGCGGAGAUGGCGCCAAGGGGCGCGGGAAGCCGUCGACGGACAAGAAGAAGAAGAAGAGGAACACCGACCCCAACGCCUGCAGGCGCUGCGGGAAGGUGGGGCAUUGGGCACGAGAAUGCCCGGAGAAGAAGCCGGAGAAGGAGGAGGCCCACUUGGCUCGGGACGACAGCGACGACGAGUGCGCUCUGUUGAUGGGGGAGUGUUGCGCGCUGCAGGAAGGCGAAGCAGGGGAGGCGGAGGCGGAGCAGGGGACUGCGCCGCAGGCCGUCGAACUUGACGAGUCUCGCGCGCGUGUCCUCCUGGGAGCGGACGGCGAAGAGCUGGAGCAGAGGUGGUACCUCGACUCAGGCGCGAGCAACCAUAUGACAGGAAGCCGCGCUGUUUUCUCCGAGCUUGAUGAAGAAACCACCGGGAGCGUCAAGUUCGGCGAUGGCUCCCGGGUGGCAAUCCGCGGCCGUGGCACUGUCCUGUUCCGGUGUCGGAACGGGGAACAUCGGGCGAUGACGGAUGUCUACUGGAUCCCACAGCUGAAGACAAGCAUCAUCAGCCUCGGGCAGUUGGACGAGCGCGGCGCAGAGGUGGUGAUCAAGGGCGAAGUGCUGCGGAUCCGUGACCAAGAUCGGCGGUUGCUGGCCAAGGUCACAAGGUCGAAGAACCGGCUGUUUCUGCUGGACCUUAAGGUCGAGCAGCCGGUGUGCCUGGCGGCACAGUGCACGGAGGAGCCGUGGCUGUGGCAUGGCCGGCUCGGGCAUUUGAACUUCGACGCACUGAGCAGACUGGCGGCAAUGGUGAGGGGGAUGCCCAAGAUCCAACACGCCAGCGAGCUUUGUGACAGCUGCCUGGUGGGGAAGCAGAGGAGACUACCGUUCCCCAAGGAGGCGAAGUACCGCGCCAAGGAGAAGCUUGAGCUGGUUCAUGGCGACCUAUGCGGGCCUAUCACCCCGGCCAUGCAUGGAGGGCGGAGGUAUUUCCUCCUGCUGGUGGAUGACUACAGUCGCUACAUGUGGUUGCGGCUCCUGACCAGCAAGAGCGAAGCAGCAGAAGCCAUCAAGCAACUCAAGGCGAAGGUUGAGGCAGAGUCUGGGAGGAGACUGCGGGUGUUGCGAACGGACCGUGGAGGGGAGUUCACGGCGGUGGAGUUCGCCACCUACUGCGCGGAGGAGGGAGUGGAGCGCCAUCUCACGGCGCCCUACUCACCUCAGCAAAACGGUGUGGUGGAACGCCGGAAUCAAUCCAUCGUCGGGAUGGCGAGGUGCAUGCUGAAGGCCAAGGGAAUGCCGGCGGCGUUCUGGGGAGAGGCAGUGAGCACGGCGGUGUUCAUUCUCAACAGAGCACCGACGAAGGCGCUGAGCGGGAAGACACCGUUCGAAGCUUGGCAUGGCCGCAAGCCGAGCGUGGCAUUCAUGCGCACGUUUGGGUGCAUUGGGCAUGUGAAGAACACCAAGCCCGGCCUCACCAAGCUUGAAGACCGGAGCACGAAGAUGGUGUUCCUCGGCUACGAGGAAGGAUCAAAAGCCUACAGGCUCUACGAUCCAGUCACCGGGAGGGUGACAGUGUCCCGCGACGUCGUGUUUGAUGAAGCGGGGAAGUGGAGGUGGGAGGAGGAAGACUUGGCGGGAGAAGAGGGCGCGCUCGGGAUCGGUGGGACCUUCACCGUCGAGCAACUGGUUAUCACCAGUCAAGUCCACGCACCAACCGGAGUCGUGGAGGAAGCAGCAGCCCCUGGAGCAGGGGAAGCAGGGGGCGAGGCGACAGCAGCAGGGGAAGCUGAGCCGCCCAGCCCCACCACGACGGGCGGCACCCCGCCUCACUCUGUCUCAAGACAGGAGCAGAGGACUCCGACCACGGCUCAAGUGGAGUAUGCCACUCCACCACCAGACGUCACCGAAUUCGUGGACGCCUUCCACGACGGCGAGGAGGUACGAUUUCGUCGUGUGGACAAUGUUCUCGGUGAUGCAGCAACUCCGGGACUGGCAGCACGGUUGCUGGGCGAAGAGGAGGAGCUUAUGAUGCUGAGCACAGAAGAGCCGGCCACCUUCGCCGCAGCAGAGCGCGAGCCGGAGUGGCGGCGCGCUAUGCUGGAGGAGAUGCGGCAGAUCGAGGCAAAUCGGACCUGGGAGUUGGUCGAUCCACCGGCUGGAUGCUGGCCGAUCGGACUCAAAUGGGUCUACAAGGUGAAGAAGGACGAGCACGGCGCGGUGGUGAAGCACAAGGCGCGGCUCGUCGCUCGGGGGUUCGUGCAGCGAGAAGGGAUCGAUUUCGAGGAGGUGUUCGCGCCAGUGGCGCGCAUGGAGUCGGUGCGACUCGUCCUGGCCAUGGCGGCGGCCAAGGACUGGGCUGUUCACCACCUCGACGUCAAAUCCGCCUUUCUCAACGGCGACUUGACGGAGGAGGUCUUCGUCAAGCAGGCCCCAGGUUUCAUCGCACAGGGGGCUGAGCACAAGGUGCUCCGCCUCAGGAAGGCGCUCUACGGCUUGCGGCAGGCGCCGCGAGCGUGGAACUCCAAGCUCGACGCCACCAUGGCGGAGCUCGGGUUCACGCGGUGUGCAACAGAGCAUGCCCUGUACACCCGCCGACGGGGGAAGGAAGAACUCGUCGUCGGGGUGUACGUGGAUGACUUAAUCGUCACCGGUGCGCGGGAGAAGGACAUCUCAUCGUUCAAAACCGAGAUGGCGGCAAAGUUCCAGAUGACCGAUCUCGGUGCGCUGAGCUACUACCUCGGCAUCGAGGUGAAGCAGGGAGGCAAGGCAGUCACGCUGGGGCAGCGUGCCUACGCGCGCAAGGUGCUGGAGCGGGCGGGCAUGGAGAAUUGCAGGCCUGCAGCGACUCCGAUGGAGGAGCGGAUCAAGCUGUCGAAGCAGAGCACGGCGGAGAAGGUGGACGCAACGCGCUACCGGAGCAUCGUCGGCGGGCUGCGCUGGCUCACCCAUACUCGGCCGGACAUCGCGUUCGCGGUCGGGUAUGUAAGCCGGUUCAUGGAGGACCCGCGGGAGGAUCACUGGAUGGCAGUCAAGCGGGUGCUGCGCUACAUCCAGGGGACGAUGGAUCAGGCUCUCGUCUUCCCAAAAGGCGGGGGGUCUGGUUCAGGCGGGCUGGAGCUCGCGGCUUACAACGACGCGGACAUGGCAGGCGAUGUCGAUGGACGACGCAGCACCUCAGGCGUGUUGAUCCUCCUCGGCGCGGCACCUGUCGCCUAGCAAUCGCUGAAGCAGAAGACGGUGGCUCUGUCGACUUGCGAGGCAGAAUAUGUCGCUGCAGCCACCGCGGCAUGCCAGUUGGUGUGGAUGCGCCGGCUGCUGGGGGAGCUCACAGGCAUUGAGCCCCGGCCGCCUGUGCUCAAAGUGGACAAUCAGCCAGCAAUAGCUCUGGCAAAGAAUCCUGUUCUCCACGACCGAAGCAAACACAUCGAUGUGAAGUUCCACUUCCUACGUGAUUGCGUCGAGGAGAAGCAGAUUGUCAUCGAGUUUGUUGAGACUGGUCGACAACUCGCUGACAUCUUCACUAAGCCAGUUGGGCGACUUCGGUUCUUGGAGCUAAGGAGCAAGAUUGGCAUGGUGGAGGUCAAGAGUACACAGCAGGAUUAGGGGAAGAUUGUAAGAUAUAAUCUGCUGUCCCUCUUGUACUUUUGUCCUGCAUUCGGCAGGUUCAAGUGGUCAGCUCUUGGCUGCCACUGUAGAAGUAUGGCAAUAGGCCAUUUAGUCUUCCAUAGUUGGUAGAAGUACACCAGCUAGAGUAGUGGGCUGGUUUAGGCUGGUACAAGAGUAGGAAUUGGCUGAGAUAAGCCAUGUAGUGUAGUUGUUGGAGUGGUGUAGUCACCAUCCAAGUAGUGUACCAGCAGGUACAUAGUUUGUGUAUAUAUACCCUACCUAUUGCAAUGGAAAAACUCAGUUCAAUUGCCACUCAUUCAGUCCCUGUUUCGGUCUGAAACCGUGUGUGCUGUGUGUGUGCUGUGGGAGCUCAGGGCUCUUCUUCUACCUUGGAGCAGGGGAGAGGGAGAGGGGAGGAGAGCAGGUGCUGCUCACCUCGGUGCAGGGUCUCUGUGCCAACAUGAACUGAUCUUAAAC
This 5047-nucleotide long non-coding RNA is filed under the name Sorghum bicolor (sorghum). RNAcentral's name for it is "long non-coding RNA (SBIC_LNC016931)". Lineage: Eukaryota; Viridiplantae; Streptophyta; Magnoliopsida; Poales; Poaceae. The record is from RNAcentral.